UCCUUAGUGGCUCAGAUGGUAAAGCAUCUGUCUACAAUGCAGGAGACCCGGGUUCGAUCCCUGGAUUGGGAA
RNAcentral lists this transfer RNA (72 nucleotides) under Capra hircus (goat). It matches the Rfam family "tRNA". From Rfam's summary of the family: Transfer RNA (tRNA) molecules are approximately 80 nucleotides in length. Their secondary structure includes four short double-helical elements and three loops (D, anti-codon, and T loops). Lineage: Eukaryota; Metazoa; Chordata; Mammalia; Artiodactyla; Bovidae. The record is from Rfam by way of RNAcentral. RNAcentral also lists the same sequence under 1 other name.